UGGGGAAUAUUGCACAAUGGGCGCAAGCCUGAUGCAGCCAUGCCGCGUGUGUGAAGAAGGCCUUCGGGUUGUAAAGCACUUUCAGCGAGGAGGAAGGGUAGUGUGUUAAUAGCACAUUGCAUUGACGUUACUCGCAGAAGAAGCACCGGCUAACUCCGUGCCAGCAGCCGCGGUAAUACGGAGGGUGCAAGCGUUAAUCGGAAUUACUGGGCGUAAAGCGCACGCAGGCGGUUUGUUAAGUCAGAUGUGAAAUCCCCGCGCUUAACGUGGGAACUGCAUUUGAAACUGGCAAGCUAGAGUCUUGUAGAGGGGGGUAGAAUUCCAGGUGUAGCGGUGAAAUGCGUAGAGAUCUGGAGGAAUACCGGUGGCGAAGGCGGCCCCCUGGACAAAGACUGACGCUCAGGUGCGAAAGCGU
This 415-nucleotide ribosomal RNA is filed under the name uncultured bacterium. RNAcentral describes it as "partial 16S ribosomal RNA". It matches the Rfam family "Bacterial small subunit ribosomal RNA", at positions 355 to 762 of the family's 1533-position model. The record is from RNAcentral.